Clupea harengus (Atlantic herring) is the source of this 2767-nucleotide RNA transcript. RefSeq lists it as uncharacterized. The transcript has 4 exons. The record is from RefSeq and is a predicted model, not a curated record. NCBI's taxonomy places the organism in Eukaryota, Metazoa, Chordata, Actinopteri, Clupeiformes, Clupeidae.
UCACUACUCAGAUUACUUCCCCUUAUGAUUGGUCAUUUAGUUCCUGAAAAUGAUAAGACAUGGGGUAUCAUUUUGGAUUUGAAAUUGAUUGUUGAACUUAUUUCCUUAUCUGUAUUCACUACCCCAACCAUAUGCUUUUUGGAAUCCAAGAUAUCUGAUCACAGGAAUCUGUUGUUAGAGGUGUUCCCUAACUUCACAUUGAAACCAAAACACCAUUACCUCGAACAUUAUCCAAAUCUCAUUCAUUGUUUUGGUCCUUUAUUGAACUUCUGUACAAUCCGUUUUGAGGGUAAACACAGCUUUUUUUUAAAAGUUGUGCGUGAUGUGAACAAUUUCAAAAACAUUUUAUUGACAUUAGCCAAGAGACACCAACUUAUGUUUGGCUACUACCUUGAGCUGCCCAGCCUUUUCAAGCCAAACCUUGAGGUUCACAGUUCUUCUACUCUCUGUACUGAUAUUUUGGACAACAGUAUAAAGCAGGCACUUAAGAGGAAGUACACAAAUGUUAUGUCUGUUUGUCUGACAACAACAAUUACUCGACAUGGGACCACAUAUUCUGAAGGAAUGUUUGUCUCAUUUGGCAGCACAAGUGGACUACCUGAUUUUGGAAAGAUUGUCAAACUACUCAUUGUGGCUGAUAAGGCAAUGUUUAUCAUUGAACCUUUUCAAUCUGUGUAUAUUGAGCAUUUAGGCUCUUUUGAACUGUUUAGAGCACUUUCUGCAGGUUUUCUUCUGGUUGAACCUGAAGAUUUGAACCACUACGAACCAUUAUAUUGCUACACCAUUCAAGGAAGACAGCUGGUCACAGCAAAAGCCUUUUUGCUUCAUUAAGAAUGUUGCUCAGAGUUGUUUUGGCACCAGAUGACAUCAGGAGGCUGUUGAUAGAAGAAAUCCCAGAGACUCUGGAGGGCUUCAAGUUGAUUCUGAGGACUAAGCUAAAUCUGGGUUAUGAGUUUGUAAUACAGUAUGAAGAUCCGGACUUCCAGAAUGAGUUGAUAAACCUCAACUGUCCCACAGAAUUGCCCAAGGAUAAAGCAACCCUCAAAAUAAUCCAGAAGAUGCCACCUGACCAACACUUGGUGACAGUUAGUGACAGCAGUACCCUUGACACUGCCAGCCUGUCAUCUGCUUCAUCAUCUACAGAAACCAGCCCACCUGAUAUGAUGAAGAACUGGUCUGAGCCCUUUAGCAUUCCAACUUUCUCUUAUGAUGUGGAACUGAAGCUGAAGAGAGGAAAUGAAGCAUAUGCCAAAGAUGGUUCCCGGAUAGAGGUCCUCAAGGGCCUCAAGAGUGAAAUCUUGGACAGACUUGUUGGAGAGAUGUUCAGAAUCGAUGCAUAUCCAUCACAUGUACAAAUUGAAGAAGUUGCCAAAGCAUUGGUAGAAAAGCAUCCCUGUUUAAGAGAGGUAGGGUCCACAGAUGGCUGGUACUGCUGGAAGUACAGUUUGAAUUUUAAAAUGGGCAAUUAUCGGCACAAGUUACGUGCUGCCGGGUGUACAGCAGUGUUGGUGAACAAGACUCGAAUGUUUGAAGAUGGGAAAACUAAGCGGAAGAUCAAGAAGCCAAGGCGAUCUGAAACCAACUUCCUUCCAGAUAUACCUGAUGAAGACACCUUUACUUCCCUUGAAGAGGACAGGAAGACACUUCUGAUGGAAUUUAAAAAGGUGAAUCCCAACAACAAGAUAAUUGAUGCAGCCAUGGCAAACACUUAUGCUUUGAGAAGAAAGGAGAUCGUUGAUGAUGAGCCUCUUGCGAGUGUGGUCAAAUCCAGAUGGCCUGCACUGUUCUCGGAGAGACAGAUCCUUGCGGAAUUCAGCCGUCUGAUGUCUACUGAUCUCCUGAGCUCCUUCUUUGGUGGACUUGAUGAAUAUCUGCCCAGGUUUCUUGACCUUUUCAGAAAAGAGGAUCACAUUGCAGAGCUCCAAGACAUUGUUAGAUGGCUGGACGCUCAUGUAAGUAUUGCACAUGUAUCUUUCAUUUUGUGAUGUGAAAAUAGCCUUUUCUCUUUUUAACACUGUCUGUGUGUUUGCAUGUGUCGGUGUUUGCUUUUGCAUUUCAGGAUUCCAAUCAGAAUAAGUGAACAGCAGUCUUACUUGGCAUGCCGCAUUUCCUUCGUGAAGAGCCCUCAAGCUUUCUUAAGACCUGUGAGCCAACUGAUCCAGUUGAAGAUACCUUGAAAGGAACCAGUGUCGGGAUCCUGAUUGUGUCUGAAGAGAUCGGCAGAUAUGUGGUCCCAAUCGAGACCAAUGACAUUUGUCUCGUCUUGGAGGAACAGCUGGCUGUCAUGAAUAUUUCUGAUAUUCCCAAGGCAUUCGGACUAAUGAUGGGUCUGAUGUAUGCGCUCAAUGUUGACUACCCAAAGCAUCUCAAAUAUACGUUUGAAGUAAUGCAAAAGCUUUUCUUGAAUGUCGGAGGGUGUAGCUGCUCUUCACGUGUUAAUGGUCUCCGUAACAGGCUGCUUUACAAAAAGUUGUAGUGCAGAAAUCUCCCCUAGCAUUUGGACUUGGUCUUCAGAUAUUUUUUUUGCUUUCAUAUUUGGACUUUGAAAGUGGAAACUGUUUGCCCCUUUAAAUGGCUCUUGGCAACUUGUUUUUCUGUUUUAUGCAAUGUAGCACAUGGGUUUGGUCCCGAAAGUGAAGGUUUUCUUUAUUCACUUUUGUAUUGUUUUGUGCUCUUUGCUCCCAUGUGUGGACUUUGAGAAUUUUUUUUUACAGUGUACCACCUGAAAGCAGGUUGGAGGGGUGGGGGGGAUGCGUGCGCGUGUUAA